Molecule: ribosomal RNA, 248 nt
Filed under: uncultured bacterium
Lineage: Bacteria
Description: partial 16S ribosomal RNA
Rfam family: Bacterial small subunit ribosomal RNA
Source: RNAcentral
AGGGGGCUAGCGUUGUUCGGAAUUACUGGGCGUAAAGCGCGUGUAGGCGGUUAUUCAAGUCGGGUGUGAAAGCCUUGAGCUCAACUCAAGAAAUGCACUCGGUACUGGGUGACUAGAGGACCGGAGAGGAUAGUGGAAUUCCCAGUGUAGUGGUGAAAUACGUAGAGAUUGGGAAGAACACCAGUGGCGAAGGCGGCUAUCUGGACGGUUUCUGACGCUAAGACGCGAAAGCGUGGGGAGCAAACAGG